This 2191-nucleotide long non-coding RNA is filed under the name Homo sapiens (human). RNAcentral's name for it is "non-protein coding lnc-ABCC10-3:1". Lineage: Eukaryota; Metazoa; Chordata; Mammalia; Primates; Hominidae. The record is from RNAcentral.
GGAGCGGAAGGAAGGGCUUCUCUGGAGAGGGAUCUGGUUUUCCGGGGAUGCUCCAGGCCUCUGGACUUAGGGGUUUGGAGACCGUGCGGAGGUGUCUUCGCUCUUUCGUGCCGCCCCUCAAGCCUCUUAAUUUAGGGAUGGACACGAAAUGGUUGAAAACCAUUCGUGAUAAUAUAAACGGGCCUGUAAACGUUAGCUGUGUGGGAGGUUACGGACCCCGGCAGGAGCGCCCACCGAAAUCCUGUCCCCAGCUGAAGCAACACGACCCGCAUCAGUUUACUUUCCAGUUUGCCUAAUUUCUAGAGGUUGAAAUUGAGGAUAGGAAAGUACGAGGUGGAGGUGGUGGGCCAGAAUCAAACCCAAAAUAGACGUUGUCAGGCCUCUGAGCCCAAGCUAAGCCAUCAUAUCCCCUAUGACCUGCACGUAUACAUCCAGAUGGCCUGAGGCAACUGAAGAGCCACAAAAGAAGUGAAAAUAGCCUUAACUGAUGACAUUCCACCAUUGUGAUUUGUUCCUGCCCCACCCUAACUGACAGGAUAUAUUCUCCCCCUUGCCCUUAAGUAGGUGCUUUGUAAUAUUCUCCCCCGCCCUUAAGAAUGUACUUUGUACACCUAUCCCAAACCUAUAAGAACUAAUGAUAAUUCCACCACCCUCUGCUGACUCCUUUUUCGGACUCAACCCGCCUGCACCCAGGUAAGAUAAACAGCCUUGUUGCUCACACGAAGCCUGUUUGGUGGACUCUCUUCACACGUUUUCGAGCUGUUUUCUGACUAAAGUACUUGUGGUCAUGGUGGAGGUCCUUCAUUACCAGGGGCCCACAUCAUGACCAACUGGAGGCGUGGCAAGUUUUUGUAAGAGAUCCAGGCAUGCCCCCUCCCCUGGCCUAAGUCCAGAAUUUUCCUAGAUGCCAAUCUCAGGGCCCUGCAUCCUAAAUACAAAAGUGGGCCAGGCGCAAAGGGUCACGCCUAUAAUCCCACCAUUUUGGGAGGCCGGGGCAGGAGGAUUGCUUGAGCCUGAGAGUUCGAGACCAGCCUGGGCAACGUAGAAGGACCUCCAUUUCUAAAAAAAAAAAAAAAAAAUUUGCCGAGUGUGGUGGCACGUUCCUGUACCCCAGCUACUCGGGAGGUUGAGGCUGCGGUGAGCUGUGAUCAUGCCACUGCACUCCAGCCUGGGUGACAGAGUGAGACCCUCUCUCAAAAAAUACAUCCAUAUAUAUAUAUAUCCAUUUCCAUACGUUCUUAUAAUGGCAUAUACUCAGUAAAAAUGUAUAAAAUUUUUACUAGUUGACUACUUUUACCCAGCUUCACAUUUUAUAUAAUUUAUAUAAAAUAAGAAACCAAUAACAUUUUAAUGAAAAAAAUAAUAAAAAUAUGCCAGAGGUGUAUGCCCUGUCUUUAUUAGAGUAUAUAUGGAUUUUGGUUACCCAUACUUUUGGUGGGACUUAAUAAAUGUGAAAAAAAUGUAAAUCAGUGUGUAUAGAUACUUGGAGUCAAUAAAUUUUAAAUCAUGUUUGUUAUAUUCUGUAUCAACUUUUACUCCUCAACCCAUUUCUAAUACUGAAUAUUUUUAUCAAAGGAGCUGGGGUGUUUCAAGACAGGGGGAGACACGGUGUAUAAUCAGAAAACUCUUCUGCUUCCCCUUCACACUUGCUCUAUGCAUAGUUCUGUAUCCUGCAUGAAAUCUCUUGCAGAUCCUUUCACUUUUCAAGUAUUUUUCAGUCAUGACAGUAGUCAUAUUGCAGUAGAAAAUAUAUAGUACAGAACAAAACUUUAAACUUUAUUCAGGCUAAAGGUUCUCCCCUACCCCUGCUUUUACCUGCUUCAGACUUGAAGCUUGCUAUAUUAAAAGUGGUAUGGUAGGUUUCUCCACAUCCCUGCCUUUGCUCCUCAAAGUUUGCUCCUCCUCUCCCACUGGCUAGCUGCUAUUUCUGACCCCCUCCUCCCAGGAGGAGAAGGGAUUGAAGGGAAAGAACACAGACUUUCCUGGUUAGUGCAGGAUGCUGUUACCUUCCAAAAUCGGUUCCCUAUGGACAAGGAGGAAUCACAAAUGUUGGCUUUUCUCUCUUAUGCACCUUUGUGGGCUUUUUUAGAACUCUCUUGCUGGCAGUGGUCCUCCUCUGGUUCACUGUCUAUGACUCCCCUCCCCCAAGUCUUUGGCCUUCUGGAGGAGGUUUACCCCAUGUAAAACUCAC